Molecule: ribosomal RNA, 454 nt
Filed under: uncultured bacterium
Lineage: Bacteria
Description: bacterial SSU rRNA
Rfam family: Bacterial small subunit ribosomal RNA
Source: RNAcentral
UACGGAAGGCAGCAGUGGGGAAUAUUGCACAAUGGGCGCAAGCCUGAUGCAGCCAUGCCGCGUGUAUGAAAAAGGCCUUCGGGUUGUAAAGUACUUUCAGUCGUGAGGAAGGUGUUAAGGUUAAUAACCUUAGCAAUUGACGUUAGCGACAGAAGAAGCACCGGCUAACUCCGUGCCAGCAGCCGCGGUAAUACGGAGGGUGCGAGCGUUAAUCGGAAUUACUGGGCGUAAAGGGCACGCAGGCGGUUAAUUAAGUUGGAUGUGAAAUCCCCGGGCUUAACCUGGGAAUGGCAUUCAAGACUGGUUAGCUAGAGUCUUGUAGAGGGGGUAGAAUUCCAUGUGUAGCGGUGAAAUGCGUAGAGAUGUGGAGGAAUACCGGUGGCGAAAGGCGGCCCCUGGACAAAGACUGACGCUCAUGUGCGAAAGCGUGGGGAGCAAACAGGGAUUAGAUACC